GAUAACCAUUGGAAACGAUGGCUAAUACCGCAUAAUGUCUACGGACCAAAGAGGGGGACCUUCGGGCCUCUCGCUUCAGGAUAUGCCCAGGUGGGAUUAGCUAGUUGGUGAGGUAAUGGCUCACCAAGGCGACGAUCCCUAGCUGGUCUGAGAGGAUGAUCAGCCACNCUGGAACUGAGACACGGUCCAGACUCCUACGGGAGGCAGCAGUGGGGAAUAUUGCACAAUGGGCGCAAGCCUGAUGCNNCCAUGCCGCGUGUAUGAAGAAGGCCUUCGGGUUGUANAGUACUUUCAGUCGUGAGGAAGGCGUUGNAGUUAAUAGCUUCNUCGNUUGACGUUAGCGACAGAAGAAGCACCGGCUAACUCCGUGCCAGCAGCCGCGGUAAUACGGAGGGUGCGAGCGUUAAUCGGAAUUACUGGGCGUAAAAGCGCAUGC
Molecule: ribosomal RNA, 436 nt
Filed under: Vibrio sp. HR06-05
Lineage: Bacteria; Pseudomonadati; Pseudomonadota; Gammaproteobacteria; Vibrionales; Vibrionaceae
Description: bacterial SSU rRNA
Rfam family: Bacterial small subunit ribosomal RNA
Source: RNAcentral